This 220-nucleotide ribosomal RNA is filed under the name Escherichia coli. RNAcentral describes it as "partial 16S ribosomal RNA". It matches the Rfam family "Bacterial small subunit ribosomal RNA", at positions 1 to 217 of the family's 1533-position model. Lineage: Bacteria; Pseudomonadati; Pseudomonadota; Gammaproteobacteria; Enterobacterales; Enterobacteriaceae. The record is from RNAcentral.
AAAUUGAAGAGUUUGAUCAUGGCUCAGAUUGAACGCUGGCGGCAGGCCUAACACAUGCAAGUCGAACGGUAACAGGAAUCAGCUUGCUGUUUCGCUGACGAGUGGCGGACGGGUGAGUAAUGUCUGGGAAACUGCCUGAUGGAGGGGGAUAACUACUGGAAACGGUAGCUAAUACCGCAUAAUGUCGCAAGACCAAAGAGGGGGACCUUCGGGCCUCUUG